UGACGUCUGCGUUCGAUUGAGGCCCAUGAGUCAGGUUAUCCAAUGUACUGUUCCCCGUUUGCCAUCCUCCCAACGACCCCACAUCGGGAGAUGGCCUAGAGCACCGCUCGUACUCUGGCCGACCGUGUUUGUCAAAUUACAUUCCCUCACCCAUGGCGUCCUGCUGGCAGUCCGAACCUUGCUCCUCGCCCACCACUGUACUGAUGACCGUUUUCGAUGGCGGUGAGCGAGGAGGACGUCCGAGGCAGUCUUGUCAAAAGAUCAGAUACUUUUGAGCAACAAUCCGUCCAUGGCUGUGCACGUUUGCACAUCGGCCGGCAACUGGACAUGACCAAGUCUCAGCGUGGCCACUAACCCCAGGACCUGCGGGGGAACCCCUCGUCAUGGCGAGCGUCGUCUCUACGAGCUUCGCAUCGAGCGUCCUAAACGCUCACCAGGUGCACUUUGUGCGUUUUUUCUAGAUGGUCUAGCUGGCGAGGGUGGCGCACGCCUUAGACAAGUUAACUGUUUGUUCAGUUGCACUAGCUAGCGCUCACUAGGGUGCAUAGCUACACUACAAAAUUGCUUAGCUGUAAGCCCGAGGUUUCGUGGGCAUGGCUUGCGGCCACACGGGUCUUCUCCGUGCCGGAAUCGAAGAGGACGGGCCACGUGUUGCGGGGUGGCGGUGUAUAUAUAGCUUCAGGUUUAGCUGACACACAGGCUUAGCUUCCACUGCGCAGGCUACAGCUGAUAGCCGUCCUCUUACGACUGCGUCAGGGACAUGGACCCUUCCGAAUGGCCUUGCGACCCGACCCCACUAUUUCGUGACAAGGUAGCCCGGGCGCGUCAGUGCUAUCGAGCGAAAUGUGGCAUCACGGAAGCAAACGCCAUUCUGAAAUUGCCUCGCCAGCUUUUAGCUAUUUAGGCGACCUUACGUCGCCUACGGUCGGGAGCGCAGCUCCGCCGUGCAGCAGCUACGGUAAGUGGUCCAUUUCUUUGCGGUUCCAGCUGUUCUUUUCUGGUUGUUUACUUUCCUCCUUGCGUCGCAGUUGAUGACCUUGAUCACCACUCGUGCAGUCACCGACCGUCUUAACUAUUCGCAUUCCCUCGGCGGUGAAGUGCUGCUGGGGAACUAGACUUUGUUCCUCGCCCGGCCCUACUCCUGGCAAGUAUCAUGGCUACUAAAAUACUAGUAUAGCUUUGUUCUUCAAUGUUUAACAAGCCCUGCCUGAUUUCAGGUUCCUACCGUCUGCUUUCCAUUGCGGCUAUUCACAAGCAUAUCCAGCGGGUGCUUCUGCACAUCUAGUCUCCGGCCGUGUUAGGUCUGAAUUUUUCUCGCCGGUGGCUUUCAGCUGGGAGACGGAGAUUCGUUCAACUCCCUGCACUACUUCUGACAAGUACCAUGUUUGCACUCCAAUGGUACUACGGAUGUUUUCUCGUGUGGCGUAUAAGCCCUGUGGCAUUUAAGGUUCCGGACGUCUGCUUUUGAAUGAAGCCGUGUUUUUCUCUGACGGCUAUGGUUCGCGUUCUCUGUACUCCUUUCCUUAAUCAUGUUGCUACACUUGCCGGUUCCGCAAGUACAAACUUUGUGGGCUUCCGAUGAAAUUUGCUGUCGAAUGUAUUUACUAUGCAGACCUUCGAGGUUAAGUUUAUGCUUCGGAAGACUUCCUUCGCCAGUUUCCAAAAGGAUUUCGUUUGUCGCUCUCCGAGUAAGACGACGUUCAAUUUCUUCCGUUCCUGGUUAUAUUUCUUAGCUGAGUUCAUUUCCUCACCAGUAAUUUAUUUCGUUUACUGGGAGUGCCACAUUUUUCACAAUGCUUUUGUAACUCUAGGUAGUCUUCACUUUUGUCGAAGGUUGCCGCCCUAUUCUUCAAUGUUUUCCGCAGUAGACUUGAAAACUACGAAUGAGCCUUUCAUAGAAACCGCCCCCACACGGUGUUUUGCGGAGGAAAUUUCCACUGGGUAAUAGGUCAUGAAUUGUUCAUUUGUUUAUCGACAAUGUUGCUGUGACCGCACUCAAUCCCUUAUUAGUUCUCCUGAAAGUCUUGCGUUGUUGCUGAUCACAUUUAUGUUCGACCUGAGAAACGCCGAAAAUAGUGUAGAAAACUGAUGUGAAGCGUCUCCAACAGUUUCGCAGUGCACACCUCUUGCCACGGCACAUGUGAAAGUUGCUACACGUUUUGGCUAAGUCUCCUUCUUUCUUUGUAGCUGCUCCCAGCGCAUCGUUGACACGUAUACGAGCCAUUUCAAACAAUGUGGUCUUCGUUACUCUAUCCUCAAGAAGAGGUACUUCCUCUUACAAGGAUGUGCAAUUGUAUCUUCGCCACACAAAGCACUGUCGUAUUACUUCUUUCACUUAUUUUUGUCCUCCGAUUACGUGAAACCUUGUUAUUACCCGCGCCAUUGUACCGUGUACUCCACCGUGAAGUUUGUCCAUAUAGGCGUCGCACUAAUAGUCCAGAUUUCUUCACAUUUACAUGUGAUUGGGUGUUGCUCCUCUUGUGAUACGGGCCCUACCGAAGGCGCCCUUGAAGUCUCAUUGGGUCUUUUAUCUUAAAAUAUCUGGUAUUCCCCUAUUGUCUGCACAUUCGCUUGCUUGCUGAAUUUCUGCAAUUUUGCAUUAUACACUUUGUUCUAGCCAAACGAGGCAGGUUUCGGCGGUAUUUAUUUCUUCUGCUUUUAACGGACCGUUGAACUUGUCCUCAAAUAUUCACGGAACGAAACAUUCACGCAUUUGCUCUCGAAAUAUUCAAGUAACUGCCGAACCUGUCAACUUCAAUGCCUCGUCUUGAGAUCAUUUUCGGCGUAUGUCUGACACGAGAAUCAUCUCCUUUCCUUUCAUUAUUAACCGGCAUAUUGUAACAGCUAUUUGGUCUGUAGCAACUGGGAUCCCUACCACAAAAUUGUUCACUACGACAUCUUUUCUACAGUGACUCCUGGUUACAUCUGCUCGAUUUUUCAGUAUUAUUGAUGUAUCCCCAUUGUCCUCCUACUAAGUAAUCCUUUUUUUUUGUAGUCUGUGUUCAACGGUUACUUCAUACAUUUCCUUUCUCCAAUGCAGCACAAUUGUACAAGUGGUCCAAUAUUUUAUUGUUGCUCGCAAGUUCUGAUUUGCGAGACUGACGACGGUGUUCAUUGGAGCUUCUGUUCUUUGCCAGGACCAGCACUGUCUCUGCUCUGAUAUAGUAGUACCAUGAACGCUGCACUUGAAUACACCGCCGGGCUUGCAUCCCAAGAAAGUGUCGGUGCUUACGUUCAGUUUCUUGUUGCCGAUGCGCUUUGAGGCAUUUAGUCCUUUAUCUUCCUCGGUAUAUUUCUCCAUAGAUCAUUUAUUUUCGUCUGGGAGAGGGUUAUGCCAAGAUUCCGGUUUUUCUGCCGUCAUUGAAUACCGAUAUUAGCUGUUGCAGUGCAGGAAGUUAGAAAUUCCAGCCGACCAAAUAUUUUUGCCCUGGCUUGAAAUACUCAUCGCUUCGUGAGCAUUUCACUCGCGUCUUCAUAUCCAUGGGAAAGCAGAAUACCGUCGGCCGUGUCCCAGUUCAUUCCUAGAAUACUGGUCUGGCUUGAUUUAGUAACAAUGGCACCUUGAUGCGAAUUUAAAUUCUCGUUUCUUCACUGUUCGAUCUCCAUUUCCUAAGAUUCAUUGCAGCUCGGAGAAUGUUUCUUUUUUUCGCUUCUAUGUAUACACGCAUUUUGGCUGGUUUUCUUACGCUCCAAGCAUAACUUCAUCAACGGAAACUUAAUUACGUUUGCUGUCAUUGCAAGAAUUUCUUGGAAAAUUCAUUAACAGUGCUGGUACAUCUGCAUUCAAAUUUCCUCCUGCCUGAACAUAAUCAUUCAGAACAUUCCUGAUCUUAACCACGAGGCGUCAAAUGCUACGCUUAAUUUUCUUCCUAGUCGGUCUUCUCGAAUUGCUUGAUGUCACGAUAUGGUAGUUAUUGUUCAGAUUCUUCCGAACUCGCUCGUUCUGCUUUCCGGGUGUGAAGCAUCUCGCAUUGAACAGUUCUAUUUUUAUCUCACUGCUGUUGCAUUUGUCUGGUGUCUUCGAGAUGUUCUUCCGAUUGCAACUUCGUUGAUUUCCACGUUAACUUCCUCUCUCCAUCCUUCUGAACAGUCCUUGUAACUACAUAGUCCACUUUAUGCAUCGUUUCUUUCUGAGGAGCUAAGCCAGUAUAUUCCGCCUUCAAAAAGUUCAAAAUGGAAGUCGUCAGUUUCUCCGGCGCCAAGAACCAUGGCGAGUCUCGCGUUUCGCAGUUCACUUCUACACCACAUGGUUCGGGCACAAUCCAGUCUGGUAUUUUCUAUUUUCCAUGGUAUCUUUCUUUCGUCUUUUCACUGGACUUGUCUCCUCGCCCUGCACUACUACUGGUUCGUCACUCCUGUUCUCAAUUGUGGUCCACAAGCGUACCCAAAGCGCUGUUGCACGACUCUACGGUCUGCGCUCCAAAAGAUUACUUCGGGCACGAGCAUCACCUGUUCCAGGAGCGACUGCUAUUGCUUCCACAUUCUCUCGCCAGUGAAGUCCUGCUGAUAGACUGUACUUGUCUCCUCGCCCUGCACUACUACUGGUUCGUCACUCCUGUUCUCAAUUGUGGUCCACAAGCGUACCCAAAGCGCUGUUCCACGACUCUACGGUCUGCGCUCCAAAAGAUUACUUCGGGCACGAGCAUCACCUGUUCCAGGAGCGACUGCUAUUGCUUCUACAUUCUCUCGCCAGUGACGUCCUGCUGAUAGACUGUACUUGUCUCCUCGCCCUGCACUACU
Dermacentor andersoni is the source of this 4740-nucleotide long non-coding RNA. RefSeq lists it as uncharacterized. The record is from RefSeq and is a predicted model, not a curated record. Lineage: Eukaryota; Metazoa; Arthropoda; Arachnida; Ixodida; Ixodidae.